This 468-nucleotide ribosomal RNA is filed under the name uncultured bacterium. RNAcentral describes it as "partial 16S ribosomal RNA". It matches the Rfam family "Bacterial small subunit ribosomal RNA", at positions 28 to 507 of the family's 1533-position model. The record is from RNAcentral.
GAUGAACGCUGGCGGCGUGCUUAAUACAUGCAAGUCGAACGGACAGGCCCGGCUCUUGUGGGGUUCUCGUUUGGCGAGCGGGUGUGUAACACGUGAGUAUCCUGUCCUUGACUUUGUGAUAACUUCAGGAAACUGCGGCUCAUACCCGAUAGGAUCUCUUGCUGCAUGGUGGGGGUUGGAAAGAUUCGGCGGUUGGGGAUGGACUCGCGGCUUAUCAGCUUGUUUGUGGGGUAGUGGCUUACCAAGGCUGUGACGGAUAGCCGGCCUGAGAGGGUGACCGGCGACAUGGGGACUGAGGUACGGACCAGACUGGUACGGGAGGCAGCAGUGGGGAAUAUUGCACAAUGGGGGGAAGCGUGUGACAGCGACGCCGGGUGCGGGAUGACGGGCUACGGGGUGUAAGCCGCUUUCGACUGUGACGAAGCGUGAGUGACGGUAAUGGGUAAGAAAGCAACGGCUAACUACGUG